GACAACAAGCAACCCCAGACUAGAGACAGGAUCCUUCUCCCCACUUCGAGCAGAUCCCAGCAUGAAUCCUGCAGUAUGGUGAUGGCAAAAGUCAGUGCAGGACCACUGGGACUCCUGGAGCUUCUCACAUCUCUGAGAGCACCAGCAGCAGUCCCCAGAUAGCAGAUGACUGGUAGGAAGAUGAGGCAAGUUUGCGGUCCAUUGUCAUGGAUAGUGGAGACAACACUGGGCCAGAAGUGGUAAGACCUGAAUCCAAGACUCAGCUCUGCCACUUGCUAAAUGGGACUUUGAAUAAACCAUUUCUCUGCACUUAAGUUCCUUACCAACAAAACGAGGGAAGUGGCCUACAUGCCUAGAUAUCAACAUUUCAUGUCACGUAGAGAUCUAGCAUCACAAGAAUCCAAGUCAUCCUCUGUUGCCUUUAAGACAAAAAGCAGAUCAGCAAGUUUUCAUAUUGCACUAUUUUCAAUGGCUGGA
RNAcentral lists this long non-coding RNA (477 nucleotides) under Homo sapiens (human). Its description in RNAcentral is "HSALNT0383297". Lineage: Eukaryota; Metazoa; Chordata; Mammalia; Primates; Hominidae. The record is from RNAcentral.